CACCGCCCAAGAUCUCCAAGUUCUCCCAGCUUUGUAAAACCCCGCUGCAGCUUCGGUUAAAGCCCCUGGAAGGGGCUGGGCUAAAACCAGAAGAGAAAAGCAGAGGGACGGAUGUGUUCUCAGACUCUGGGAGUUGCUCAAACCGGGCCUCUGCUCCUGUGAUCACCCAGCUAAGAGGGGAGUGUUAUUCAGAUAAUUCCCCCAAACGCUUUCCCUUGCAGAUCAGUGCCUGUACUCUACUGGUAAAAUCUUUCCUUAAUUUUCUCCUCUUUCCCCAUCUGAUUAUCUUACCCCCAUUAAAUCACGGAAAUAUAAUUCUUGUCGUCUCUUUUAUCCCAGGAGCAAACUGAGGCCCAGAGAGGGGAAGAGACUUGCUGAAGGUCACACAGCAACUUUGUGCUGAAGCCCAGGCUAGAUUGCCCGACUGUGCAGCCAUCAGCACUGGUGUAGGACUUGGAAGAGGAGGAUGCUGGAGCAGGUCCCAGUGCAGCUAGGGUGGCAGAAAGUCCCA
This 511-nucleotide long non-coding RNA is filed under the name Callithrix jacchus (white-tufted-ear marmoset). Its description in RNAcentral is "lncRNA (ENSCJAG00000080994.1)". Lineage: Eukaryota; Metazoa; Chordata; Mammalia; Primates; Cebidae. The record is from RNAcentral.